This 368-nucleotide unclassified non-coding RNA is filed under the name uncultured fungus. RNAcentral's name for it is "partial contains small subunit ribosomal RNA, internal transcribed spacer 1, and 5.8S ribosomal RNA". The stretch from base 1 to 73 matches the Rfam family "Eukaryotic small subunit ribosomal RNA", at positions 1759 to 1831 of the family's 1831-position model. Lineage: Eukaryota; Fungi. The record is from RNAcentral.
ACAAACUUGGUCAUUUAGAGGAAGUAAAAGUCGUAACAAGGUUUCCGUAGGUGAACCUGCGGAAGGAUCAUUAUUGAAUAAACUUGGUGGGUUGUAGCUGGCUUCUUGGAGCAUGUGCACGCCUAUCAUCUUUAUCUAUCAUCCACCUGUGCACCCUUUGUAGUCUUGUGAAGUGAAAUGGGCAAUUUGUCGAAUUGCGUGAAAGCGCGACUCUCUCCAAAGUGCUUCUGAUCAUUUCUUUAGACUAUGUCUUUUCAUAUACCAUGUAGUAUGUUACAGAAUGUAUCAAUUGGCACUCUAUGCCUACAAAACUCUAUACAACUUUCAGCAACGGAUCUCUUGGCUCUCGCAUCGAUGAAGAACGCAGC